Molecule: transfer RNA, 66 nt
Filed under: Cerylon histeroides
Lineage: Eukaryota; Metazoa; Arthropoda; Insecta; Coleoptera; Cerylonidae
Description: tRNA-Trp
Source: RNAcentral
AAGGAUUUAAGUUAAAUAAACUAGUAACCUUCAAAGUUACAAAUAGGGCCUAAUUCCUAACCCUUA